AUUGAACGCUGGCGGCAUGCUUUACACAUGCAAGUCGAACGGUAACAGGGUGCUUGCACCGCUGACGAGUGGCGAACGGGUGAGUAAUGCGUCGGAACGUGCCGAGUAGUGGGGGAUAACGCAGCGAAAGUUGUGCUAAUACCGCAUACGUACUGAGGUAGAAAGUGGGGGACCUUCGGGCCUCACGCUAUUCGAGCGGCCGACGUCUGAUUAGUUAGUAGGUGAGGUAAAGGCUCACCUAGGCGACGAUCAGUAGCGGGUCUGAGAGGAUGAUCCGGCAAUCUGGGAAUGAGGCACGGCUCAGACUCCGACGGGAGGCAGCAGUAGGGAAUUUUGGACAAUGGGCUAAAGCCUGAUUCAGCGAUGCCGCGUGUCUGAAGAAGGCCUUCGGGUUGUAAAGGACAGUUGUCAGGGAGGAAAUCCCUAGUGCUAAUAACACUGGGGGAUGACAGUACCUGAAGAAUAAGCACCGGCUAACUUCGUGCCAGCAGCCGCAGUAA
This 500-nucleotide ribosomal RNA is filed under the name uncultured bacterium. Its description in RNAcentral is "partial 16S ribosomal RNA". It matches the Rfam family "Bacterial small subunit ribosomal RNA", at positions 30 to 523 of the family's 1533-position model. The record is from RNAcentral.